GCGCCGUUAGUGUAGUGGAUCGCACGUGAGAUUCCGGUUCUUGAGACGCGGGUUCGAUUCCCGCAUGGCGCA
RNAcentral lists this transfer RNA (72 nucleotides) under Pediococcus damnosus. RNAcentral's name for it is "tRNA-Arg". It matches the Rfam family "tRNA". Rfam says of the family: Transfer RNA (tRNA) molecules are approximately 80 nucleotides in length. The record is from RNAcentral. Lineage: Bacteria; Bacillati; Bacillota; Bacilli; Lactobacillales; Lactobacillaceae.